UUGCUCUCCUCACUUCUCUCUCCCAUAUAUAUAAACAUUCUUUUCUUUAUCUCUCUCAUAUUCUCUCAUUGGGCCUUCUUUAUUGUUCUUUUGGGCCUCUUUUACACUCAAUGGGCUUUUUUUUAUUUCUUUCAGCCUCUUUUCUCUCAAUGGGCCUUUUUUUUCUUUUUGGCCUCUUUUCUUUCUUUUUCUGAAUAUCCUUCAAAUGAUUCUUGAUUUUGAUUUUAU
Molecule: long non-coding RNA, 228 nt
Filed under: Carica papaya (papaya)
Lineage: Eukaryota; Viridiplantae; Streptophyta; Magnoliopsida; Brassicales; Caricaceae
Description: long non-coding RNA (CPAP_LNC000500)
Source: RNAcentral